This 500-nucleotide ribosomal RNA is filed under the name uncultured bacterium. RNAcentral describes it as "bacterial SSU rRNA". It matches the Rfam family "Bacterial small subunit ribosomal RNA", at positions 20 to 518 of the family's 1533-position model. The record is from RNAcentral.
UGGCUCAGGACGAACGCUGGCGGCGUGCCUAACACAUGCAAGUCGAACGAGAAUCAGUGGAACGGAGAUUCGUCGAAGGGAAGCUGAGGACAGUGGCGGACGGGUGAGUAACGCGUGAGCAACCUGCCCUUCAGAGGGGGACAACAGUUGGAAACGACUGCUAAUACCGCAUGACAUAUACUUAAGGCAUCUUUAGUAUAUCAAAGAUUUAUCGCUGAAGGAUGGGCUCGCGUCUGAUUAGCUGGUUGGUGGGGUAACGGCCUACCAAGGCGACGAUCAGUAGCCGGACUGAGAGGUUGAACGGCCACAUUGGGACUGAGAUACGGCCCAGACUCCUACGGGAGGCAGCAGUGGGGAAUAUUGGGGCCAAUGGGGGCAACCCUGACCCAGCAACGCCGCGUGAAGGAAGAAGGCUUUCGGGUUGUAAACUUCUUUGACGAGGGACGAAAAAUGACGGUACCUCGAAAACAAGCCACGGCUAACUACGUGCCAGCCGCGGC